UUGGCGCCAUUAUACUGAGGUCGUUUUAUUUUCCUCAUUUCUUACAUUUAGAUUGACACAAUUUGCCCUGCACCGUGUCUACAACGCCGCAGCAGCUUGGGACUGACUACACUGGAUGUGUUACAUCGCUUGUAAUAAUUGGAAAAUACGUUUGUACUUCGUGUCAGAAACAGCGCGAGCGUUUGGAGUACAUCUGCAUGUCAGAAAUAUACCGGAGCAUCACAUUACUGUCCGCAUUCACUGUAGAUAAUAUAUAUAAUGGGUUCUAUAUUGUUGUCUGUUCUCGAGUCUCGCCGCUCCGCGCCACUCGCGUCCGAGGAAGACACAUAGGCAGCGGGGCAGCUCGGCGGGUUUUUUGCCCGGGGAUGAGCCCGCGAGAGUGGGAGAGCUCCGGAGAACAUCUACGCUGUGUGUCGAUGCACUUUACGAGAGAAUAAGCAAGGCAACUGCAAUGAAGCACCAAGAAAGACAUGAGCAGGCCAGCCACCCUGAGACUGAUAAUUCAUGAGAAGACAUUUCUGUCAAAGUGGACGGUGAGCAAAGAUGGUGGCCACGUUUUGGAGCAGCACCUGGGUUUUGCAGAGAGCUAUGUAUUUUUUGGCUGUUUGUCUUUUUCCCCAUUAUAUUUCUGUUGCCUAAAGAUUAUUUGUGAGGAUGAAUCCAGAGGACACAACAUAAUGCACUGCAAAACGUCCUAAGACAGGAGAAAUGGU
Onychostoma macrolepis is the source of this 713-nucleotide long non-coding RNA. RefSeq lists it as uncharacterized. The record is from RefSeq and is a predicted model, not a curated record. The transcript has 3 exons. NCBI's taxonomy places the organism in Eukaryota, Metazoa, Chordata, Actinopteri, Cypriniformes, Cyprinidae.